RNA transcript from Syngnathoides biaculeatus (alligator pipefish), 3780 nucleotides. RefSeq lists it as uncharacterized. NCBI's taxonomy places the organism in Eukaryota, Metazoa, Chordata, Actinopteri, Syngnathiformes, Syngnathidae. The record is from RefSeq and is a predicted model, not a curated record. The transcript is spliced from 3 exons.
CAUGUUAAAGAAGUUGAUCUGUAGUAAUUACUAUUAACGUUUAAAUCUCAAACUUGUUACGUCGUGUUGUACUGAUACACUCGACCAAAUUGCUCACUACCUUAGAUAUACCAACCCCAGACCCGCCUGUGUGGAGUUUGCGUGUUCUCCCCGUGACUGAGUGGGUUUCCUCCGGGGACUCCGGUUUCCUCCCACAUUCCAAAAAACAUGCAAUAUUAAUUGGACACUCUAAAUUGCCCCGAGGUGUGAGUGUGUCUGUUUGUCUCCAUGAGCCCUGCGAUUGCAACCAGUUCAGGGUGUACCCCGCCUCCUGCACGUUGACAGCUGGGAUAGGCUCCAGAACUCCCCGCGACCCUUGUGAAGGAUAACUGGCAAAGAAAAUGGAUGGAUAUAUACACACACACACACACACACACACACACACAUUUGAAAAAUGUACGCGUGUGGUCAUUCAUGCUCGCAGAUAAAGUUGCGGGUGUGAUUAGGGAUGGCCUUAAAAUAACUUACUGGAUUACUAUAAUAUAACUGUAAAGUAAAAAUAAAAUCAAGAUAUAACUAAAAUAGAAAUCUACAUUUUCAAAGUCAGAAAUGAUAAUUUCCAAUUUCAACUGAUAUUUGUAGAACAUGAUAUAAAAUGGUAUUUAAAUUUUUUCAUCAAUAAAAAUUCUUGAUCUGACAAACUUUAUCUGAAGAAAUGUUCAAUGCACUGGCCUGUCAAGCAAUAAAGAUGAAUGGUCUAUACCCACAAUGUUUUGAAAAGGCUGAAAGUUUAUUUCAACAUAAUUGGCGUUCGUGGCAAUAAGCUAGCGAUACAUUGGAACAAACAUUUCUGUCGCCAGUCAUGAUGUGUUGUUGUGGGAGAGGGGGUCGGGGGAAGCACACAUCGCCGCGAUUGCCGUAAAUAGGUGGCCGGCUUGCAAGAACACUCCUUUAUGUGCAUGCGCUCGACGUAUUGGCCACACCUGAAUCAAGUGACGUGGUUGAUGACAGUGUAGCGUUUUUUUUUUUUUGGUUUUGUUUUGUACGCCGUCACACUGCGUCAUGAUCGACGCAAAGAACACCCCUGGUGCAACUGAAUUUCCUUUGAUAUGGCUCAAGAUGUUGAUGACUUUCCAUGUAAAUGUGCUCGCGGUUAACUUGAAUUUCCUGUUUCCGGGUGAAUACUGGUUGUUUUAGGGCAAGCUUGUUUAGUUAACAACGUUGAUUAAAUAAACAUGUAAAUUAAUGUCAAGACUACACAAAAUAAGCAACGUCUUGAGAGAAUGCGAGGGGAGGGGCGUUACAGUUACUUGAGUUAGUGCCUCAACAUGGCUACGUUCAUGAAAGGACUUUCAUCAAUGCAGUAGGUUAGUGCCCAUUAUUUCUGUCUUGUUGUAAUCUUGAUUUUAUCUGAAGAACACAGAACAGUACAUUCAAACUUUUUUAACUCAAGGUACAUAUUUUACAGUUCAAAAAUCUCACAACACACCAACAUACAAGAAUAUCAUAAGAAGUAGAUGCCUUAAUUGCUGUAAUAAUUUAUUGCUGUCAAAUGUAAGACCAUGAAUUAUUUCUGUCGGUAACCUUACCUCAUUGGCAUAAAUAAAUGAACAAAGAUGCAUUAUUUUGUGUAAAUAUACAUAUAUUUUUAGGCAAUUAAGUCCAUAAGUGUAUAUCGUAAAUGAACAGGUCAUUUAAAUAUAAUAAUUGCUUCAUCUUAUGAUCAUAUCGUUUUGUUUUUCUUUUUUUAAUUUGUUUAUCGUGUUAAACCUAGUUUUUAGGAGAAAGUAUACACAGGCACAAGGAGAACACCCAAACGCUACACGGGCAAGGAAGGGAUUUGAACCCCGGUGCUCAGAACUGCCAGAAAACGGUAAUAACAAAAAUGAACGACUCAGACAAUCGAGAACAUAUAGGUGACUUGCAGGUGACGUCACAUCCGUUUUGAAUUUUUUCUGGCCGCCAUAUUGGGAGGUCUCAUUUCGCUGGUUACAUUAGAUUACAUAAGACGCUUUUUGACUUCUGAGACGAUGGUGCACACGUGUUGUGUUAUUGGCUGCUAUAACAAGUUCAGCAAAGAAGGGAACAGACGCUUUUUCCGAUUUCCGAAAAUAAUUACGCACCAAGGACCCCAAACAGAAGAAAUGUCGAGCAAACGGCAAGCGAAGUGAUUCAAUAAUAUCUCGCGUUCAGAUCUCACUCAUCCCACAGUUUGAAGUCAUGUGUGCAGCGAUCACUUCAUAAGUGGUGCCCACCCUGACUCCAUUUUGGAUCGAACCAGAGGUCCUGAAAACCCAGAGGAAUCUUUCAAAGGUCCAGCUUUUCCUCCUCAUCAGCGUGUGACUCGUUCCCAAAUCUUGCAGGCACCCAUGUUAAGCCAAAGUUGGCCCGGCUACUGGUAACUCUGCUAUGUUUUACAAAUCUUUCUCUCCCACUGAUGUGAGUGUGUUGCUGCAGAAACUUCCACCCAUGGAAUCUGGUGGUGCCAAUUGGCUUCAAGCAGUGCAGAGAGCGGUUACGGGACUAAUGUUAACAGCAGGUGACAUCUGUGUUCUCCUUACACAAUCAUGUCCGCUUUCACAGUUGAACACUUUGAUGCAAAAUUCUGGUUUUUCUUUUCUCCCCGGUCAUUAGGCUCUUCAUGAGAAAAUAAUUUGACCUUGUCUACAGCGUUAGAUACUUUAUUCCCGCCCCGAGUGUGUCAUUCCAGAUUUGGUUGCUCCCAAAGCAGAUGAGGAGGCCGCAGCUUUUUUUGACCAAGCCCUCAGUGAUCACACUCUGAAAACAGGACACGCCCCUACAGCCUCUGCUUUGCAUUCGCAAGUGUUCCAAGCAGCCAUUUUGAAGGGCGUUCCCAAGUCUGUGGUGCAAGCCAUGGAGACCAAUCCGGACCUUCCUGGUGCUGAGGUUGACUGGUGGUAAACAUCAUUUGAGGAGACAUGCUAAAGAAAAAGAUUCCAAGGUUCAUUCAUGGGUCGAGGUGCGCCCCUGGUGGCUGUAACAUGUGCUUCAAUUGUGGACAGCCUGGUCAUUGCGGCCACGAGUGCAGACAGCGACCUCAAGUGUCUGAAUGGAGCAUGUGGCUACAAUCAAGGAGGUUACAACCAACUCCAAGAGAGUCAAACCAACAGUCACAGACUCUUUUGCCUUCUUUUGUGUUUGCAUCUAACUGUCCAGUCAAUCUUUUGGGCAGAGAUCUCUUCAUCGCCACAAGCCCUCUCAUCAAAUGCAGCCCUGAUGGACUCAUCCUGGAAUUUCCAGAUGGUAACACUUACUGCUGCUCUGCGCAUCCGGUGCCACCUCCCAGUUCCCGCUUGUUGAAGAAUGCCCUGUGGCAUGCGCCACUCCCGACAUCUACUGGCAAGAGUGGAUAUUGACUCCAGUGGUUGGCUCGAAGCUGAACACUUUUGGACUCUCUGGUCACCUUGGGUUCGCAACCUCAGAUCUUGUGAUAUGGUAACUAAUUGUAUGCAUUGCACUCUGUGCUAAGCAUACAAUUAGUUAUAAAGAGUUAUAAAACUGCAAAACAAUGAGACCAUGAAGAAAGAACCAUGGUCUAACUUAAGAUUUCCAAAUCUUUUUUUCUUGAUCAGUUCCAGGGACUCAUUGUUCCCGGGUUGGGAUUCAUGUUUUGAUGACAGGUGGAUCCAGGAACUCACAGAAUCUCAAGUCUAAAAUGAUAUAUAUUGACAAUUAAGGCUAAUAUGAAAGCCAGAUGACUAUGACGUGUUAGAAAUAAUAAAACUGUGAAGGUCAAGAACAAGAUGAAAAGUGUAAAAUAAAGUUCAAAUCUGAACUGUC